RNAcentral lists this ribosomal RNA (16 nucleotides) under Stylophora pistillata. RNAcentral's name for it is "partial 5.8S ribosomal RNA". The record is from RNAcentral. Lineage: Eukaryota; Metazoa; Cnidaria; Anthozoa; Scleractinia; Pocilloporidae.
CACCUUUUGACGGUGG